GGCGAUGGGAGCUCGGUAGGUCGAGCAAUAGAUUGUGAAUCUAGAGGUCACGGGUUCGAGUCCCGUUCUUCGCC
Molecule: transfer RNA, 74 nt
Filed under: Lympha mucosa
Lineage: Eukaryota; Rhodophyta; Florideophyceae; Batrachospermales; Batrachospermaceae
Description: tRNA-His
Rfam family: tRNA
About the family: Transfer RNA (tRNA) molecules are approximately 80 nucleotides in length. Their secondary structure includes four short double-helical elements and three loops (D, anti-codon, and T loops).
Source: RNAcentral